This 467-nucleotide ribosomal RNA is filed under the name uncultured Sphingobacteriales bacterium. RNAcentral describes it as "bacterial SSU rRNA". It matches the Rfam family "Bacterial small subunit ribosomal RNA", at positions 912 to 1382 of the family's 1533-position model. The record is from RNAcentral. Lineage: Bacteria; Pseudomonadati; Bacteroidota; Sphingobacteriia; Sphingobacteriales.
GACGGGGGCCCGCACAAGCGGUGGAGCAUGUGGUUUAAUUCGAUGAUACGCGAGGAACCUUACCUGGGCUCAAAUGUAUGUUGACGUAUUCUGAAAGGGAUACUUCUUCGGACAAUAUACAAGGUGCUGCAUGGUUGUCGUCAGCUCGUGCCGUGAGGUGUCGGGUUAAGUCCCAUAACGAGCGCAACCCCUAUCAUUAGUUGCCAUCAGGUCAAGCUGGGGACUCUAAUGAAACUGCCUACGCAAGUAGUGAGGAAGGUGGGGAUGACGUCAAAUCAGCACGGCCCUUACGUCCAGGGCUACACACGUGCUACAAUGGCCGGUACAAAGGGCAGCUACCUGGUGACAGGAUGCUAAUCUCAAAAGCCGGUCUCAGUUCGGAUCGGAGUCUGAAACUCGACUCCAUGAAGUUGGAAUCGCUAGUAAUCGCGCAUCAGCAUGGCGCGGUGAAUACGUUCCCGGGCCUU